This is a long non-coding RNA of Balaenoptera ricei (Rice's whale), 223 nucleotides long. RefSeq lists it as uncharacterized. The record is from RefSeq and is a predicted model, not a curated record. The transcript has 3 exons. NCBI's taxonomy places the organism in Eukaryota, Metazoa, Chordata, Mammalia, Artiodactyla, Balaenopteridae.
AGAUCUUACUAAAAGACAGCCAAUGCUAUAAGUGCCAAGAAAGUAUAAAUAAACACUGGACCUUAAAGGAUUCCACAGUAUACUAGGAAAAAUGAAGAAAAAAAUAACUCUGUAAGGAGAAGUUAACUAUUUUAAGACUGUUUAACAUCUUUGCACUCAAGCUUUAAGUACAGAAGUAUGUGUGCCUGGGAUUCUGUUUUUGAGAAGGAGGGACAGGAUGAGG